Molecule: long non-coding RNA, 236 nt
Filed under: Sorghum bicolor (sorghum)
Lineage: Eukaryota; Viridiplantae; Streptophyta; Magnoliopsida; Poales; Poaceae
Description: long non-coding RNA (SBIC_LNC016092)
Source: RNAcentral
UUUAAGUACUUUUGUGAGCAUUUGAAUCUAGCAAAUAAAUAAUUUUGUGCAAAUUAAAAUUCAUCAUAAGUUUAGAAACAUGAAUUUGCAUUCAUGCUGGGGCAUAUUUUUAUUUGAGCUGUGAGAUUUUGGAUUGAAGUUAAUUGUGUUCAAAAUUCUAUUUGAAAAGGGCUUUGAAAAAUAAAAUAAAAAAAGAGAAGAAAGGGGAAAGAACACCGCAGCCAACCCCUCCCGGC